UGCAGAACCACAUGAGGUACAGCUGACAGAUUAAUGCAGUCUAGGAUUUAGGAGAUACAAUCCCGUCGCUAAUCAUGGUCGUUUAGAGUCUCUUCAGGAAUUAGGCAAAGGGACGGUGAAAGGCUUUGUGGCCGUACAAAGAUGUAUGUUCACCUGAAAUACUACACAGAAAAAAAGGUGCCAUACAAGAUCCCAUCAUCAGUAGGACUUGUUAAAUUCGGAUAGCAGCGUCGAGCGUGCUACGCAAAAUAUUAGAAAGAAUA
Lolium rigidum is the source of this 263-nucleotide long non-coding RNA. RefSeq lists it as uncharacterized. The transcript has 3 exons. The record is from RefSeq and is a predicted model, not a curated record. NCBI's taxonomy places the organism in Eukaryota, Viridiplantae, Streptophyta, Magnoliopsida, Poales, Poaceae.